This 440-nucleotide ribosomal RNA is filed under the name uncultured bacterium. Its description in RNAcentral is "partial 16S ribosomal RNA". It matches the Rfam family "Bacterial small subunit ribosomal RNA", at positions 338 to 795 of the family's 1533-position model. The record is from RNAcentral.
CCUACGGGAGGCUGCAGUGGGGAAUAUUGCACAAUGGGGGAAACCCUGAUGCAGCGACGCCGCGUGAAGGAAGAAGUAUUUCGGUAUGUAAACUUCUAUCAGUAGGGAAGAAAAUGACGGUACCUGUCUAAGAAGCUCCGGCCAACUACGGGCCAGCAGCCCCGGUAAUACGUAGGGGGCAACCGUUAUCCGGAUUUACUGGGUGUAAAGGGAGCGUAGGCGGUUUAGCAAGUCAGAAGGUAAAGCGCGGGGGUCAAAUCCGGGCCUGCUUUUGAAACUGUUGAACUAGAUUGCAGGAGAGGUAAGUGGAAUUCCUGGUGUAGCGGUGAAAUGCGUAGAUAUUAGGUGGAACACCAGUGGCGAAGGCGGCUUACUGGCCUGUAAGUGACGCUGAGGCUCGAAAGCGUGGGGAGCGAACAGGAUUAGAUACCCGGGUAGUC